AUAAAAUGCUCAACUGGGCGCAGCUUGAUACGACCGCAGAGGUCGAACCCUGAACAGUUGGGGCAAGUAUGGACACAACAUUCAAGCUUGAUACAGCUCUGAAUUUGGAUUGUGAUUAAAUAUUUGACACAGCAUAGGUUUCUGACACAGAAUGAAUGUGGUCUAAGAACUUAAAAAUUUUAAAUUGGACAUUCACCUAUUAUGGUCCAAUAUCCAAAAUCUAAAUACAUGGUUAGAUUCAGCAUAUCAAAGAACCCCAAGAAUUCAAUUUUUGAUGAAAUCAAACAAAGUUUAAUUUUGGACCCCGAUUUGGACCAACUUGAAAACUGGGCCCAUAAUCAAAAAUCUAAAUACAUGUUUAGAUUCAGCAUAUCAAAGAAUCCUAAAAAUUCAAUUUUUGUUAAAAUCAAACUAAGUUUAAUUUUGGACCCUUUGGACCUUAAUGUAGACCAAUUUGAAAACGGAACCAAAAAUUAAGAAUCUAAAUACACGGUUAGAUUCGGCAUAUCAAAGAACCCCAAUAAUUCAAUUUUUGAUGAAAUCGAACAAAGUUAAAUUUUGGACCCUUUGGACCUCAAUGUGGACCAAUUUAAAAACGGGGCCCAAAAUCCAAAAA
Molecule: long non-coding RNA, 616 nt
Organism: Mytilus californianus (California mussel)
Lineage: Eukaryota; Metazoa; Mollusca; Bivalvia; Mytilida; Mytilidae
Exons: 2
Source: RefSeq, a predicted model, not a curated record